RNAcentral lists this small nucleolar RNA (115 nucleotides) under Echinops telfairi (small Madagascar hedgehog). Its description in RNAcentral is "Small nucleolar RNA SNORA42/SNORA80 family (ENSETEG00000023932.1)". It matches the Rfam family "Small nucleolar RNA SNORA42/SNORA80 family". Rfam says of the family: The members of this family belong to the H/ACA class of snoRNAs that guide the sites of modification of uridines to pseudouridines. Lineage: Eukaryota; Metazoa; Chordata; Mammalia; Afrosoricida; Tenrecidae. The record is from RNAcentral.
GCAUGGUUAUAAAACUUUAAAGAUGAGAGUGUCCCAUGCCAAAGCAAACUGUAACCCCAAACCAUUGCCUGGCUUUACCCCGUGGGCUUCAGGCUGUGAAGCAGGUUGCACAGUG